UUCGCAAUGCCCGAAAGGGUGACGAAGCGACGCCGCGUGCGGGAAGAAGGCCUUCGGGUUGUAAACCGCUGUCGGGAGUUAAGAAAUGUAAGGAUGUCAAUAGCACCUUUGCUUGACUAAGGCUCCGGAGGAAGCCACGGCUAACUCUGUGCCAGCAGUCGCGGUAAUACAGAGGCGGCAAGCGUUGUUCGGAAUUAUUGGGCGUAAAGAGCACGUAGGCGGCUAUGUAAGUCGGUUGUGAAAGCCUUCCGCUCAACGGGAGAACAGCAUCCGAUACUGCAUGGCUUGAGUGCGGGAGGGGAGAGUGGAACUUCUGGUGGAGCGGUGAAAUGCGUAGAUAUCAGAAGGAACGCCGGCGGCGAAAGCGGCUCUCUGGCCCAUAACUGACGCUGAGUGUGCGAAAGCUAGGGGAGCAAACGGGAUUAGAUACCCCGGUAGUCCUAGCCGUAAACGAUGGGCACUAAGUAGAGGGGUUUU
Molecule: ribosomal RNA, 477 nt
Filed under: uncultured Planctomycetales bacterium
Lineage: Bacteria; Pseudomonadati; Planctomycetota; Planctomycetia; Planctomycetales
Description: bacterial SSU rRNA
Rfam family: Bacterial small subunit ribosomal RNA
Source: RNAcentral